Molecule: transfer RNA, 72 nt
Filed under: Stegodyphus dumicola
Lineage: Eukaryota; Metazoa; Arthropoda; Arachnida; Araneae; Eresidae
Description: tRNA-Asp
Rfam family: tRNA
About the family: Transfer RNA (tRNA) molecules are approximately 80 nucleotides in length.
Source: RNAcentral
UCCUCGGUAGUAUAGCGGUGAGUAUCCCCGCCUGUCACGCGGGAGACUGGGGUUCGAUUCCUCGCCGGGUAA